AUUGAACGCUGGCGGCAGGCCUAACACAUGCAAGUCGAGCGGUUGACGGGAGCUUGCUCCCUGAUUCAGCGGCGGACGGGUGAGUAAUGCCUAGGAAUCUGCCUAUUAGUGGGGGACAACGUUUUGAAAGGAACGCUAAUACCGCAUACGUCCUACGGGAGAAAGCAGGGGACCUUCGGGCCUUGCGCUAAUAGAUGAGC
Molecule: ribosomal RNA, 200 nt
Filed under: uncultured bacterium
Lineage: Bacteria
Description: partial 16S ribosomal RNA
Rfam family: Bacterial small subunit ribosomal RNA
Source: RNAcentral